AGCCCCAUAGUCUAGCGGCCAAGGAUGCGAGCCUCUGGAGCUCGAGACCAGAGUUCGAAUCUCUGUGGGGCUA
Molecule: transfer RNA, 73 nt
Filed under: archaeon GW2011_AR10
Lineage: Archaea
Also listed under: 1 other name
Description: tRNA-Gln
Rfam family: tRNA
About the family: Transfer RNA (tRNA) molecules are approximately 80 nucleotides in length. Their secondary structure includes four short double-helical elements and three loops (D, anti-codon, and T loops). Further hydrogen bonds mediate the characteristic L-shaped molecular structure. tRNAs have two regions of fundamental functional importance: the anti-codon, which is responsible for specific mRNA codon recognition, and the 3' end, to which the tRNAs corresponding amino acid is attached (by aminoacyl-tRNA synthetases). tRNAs cope with the degeneracy of the genetic code in two manners: having more than one tRNA (with a specific anti-codon) for a particular amino acid; and 'wobble' base-pairing, i.e. permitting non-standard base-pairing at the 3rd anti-codon position.
Source: RNAcentral